This 261-nucleotide ribosomal RNA is filed under the name uncultured prokaryote. Its description in RNAcentral is "partial 16S ribosomal RNA". It matches the Rfam family "Bacterial small subunit ribosomal RNA", at positions 524 to 784 of the family's 1533-position model. The record is from RNAcentral.
UACGGAGGAUCCGAGCGUUAUCCGGAUUUAUUGGGUUUAAAGGGUGCGCAGGCGGGAGAUUAAGUCGGCGGUGAAAUUUUGCAGCUCAACUGUAAAAGUGCCUUCGAUACUGGCUUUCUUGAGUGUGGAUGAAGUAGGCGGAAUUUGUGGUGUAGCGGUGAAAUGCUUAGAUAUCACUAGGAACUCCGAUUGCGCAGGCAGCUUACUAAACCAUAACUGACGCUCAGGCACGAAGGCGUGGGGAUCAAACAGGAUUAGAUA